This 74-nucleotide transfer RNA is filed under the name Paractinoplanes ferrugineus. RNAcentral describes it as "Actinoplanes ferrugineus tRNA-Trp". It matches the Rfam family "tRNA". From Rfam's summary of the family: Transfer RNA (tRNA) molecules are approximately 80 nucleotides in length. Their secondary structure includes four short double-helical elements and three loops (D, anti-codon, and T loops). Lineage: Bacteria; Bacillati; Actinomycetota; Actinomycetes; Micromonosporales; Micromonosporaceae. The record is from RNAcentral.
AGGGGUGUGGCGCAACGGGAAGCGCACCGGUCUCCAAAACCGAAGGUUGCAGGUUCGAGCCCUGUCACCCCUGC